GACCUGGAACCAAAGUAACAGGGAACUGCUGGCAGUUUCAGGUGUUCAGCAGAAACCUGUCUGUUCUUAAAGGCUGCCGGCUGACGUGUUCCAGCUGAGAAAACCCAUCUCAUCCAGGCCCGCAGCCGCGAGCUCCACUGUGGCGGAUGCAGGGGCCCAGGCCCAGCCCAGGGCGAGCCACAGGGCUGUGGGCCCUGUGGGCAUGGCCCAGGUCCCCAGUGAGCUCCAGUGGUCCUCUCCCUGCGCGUCCUGCUGCUUCUCUGGAGCACCCCUACGCUCUCCUCCCUGCUCUCUUCGAGCUCACACACCUGUCUGAUGUGCCGGUGCACCCCAGGGGCACUGUGAGGAGCGUUUGACUGGGUGGGGAAGGUUCUAGCUGCCAGGGUGACUCAGGAAAAUAUCACCAACCAAGGCAGGUGCGGGGAACCACGCAGAAUGGGGUAGGAACUGGGAAUAUGAGCCCAGUGUCAAGGCCACACAAGGAGAAAGCAUGGAUUUUGCACAGAGGGGUUAGAGGCAUGUCCACGCUGGGCCCUAGGGAGGAAGGAGGACUCCAGCAGCUUCUGAAAGGGGGCAGGUGACCUGCGGCCAAGGAACCUCAAUCACAUAGCACUUGGCUUUACUUUAAAGUCACUGACUAUAUUGGACUCUAGGCCCUGAGGGGCAGGUCCAUAACCCAUCCCUGGUUUUGUCCACAAGCAGGUCCUGUCCUGGCUCAGCACACAUGCUGCAGUCAGGGGAUGAGACAGGACAAUGGUCCCCAAGAUGUCCACACCCUGACCGGGGGAACCAUACUUUGUAUGGAAAAGGGACGCUGCAUACAUGACUGAGCCAAGGGCCUUGGUGGGUUGGGGGUGGGGAGCGCUUAGCGUGGAUGGUCCAGAUGGACGCAGUGUGAGCAGAGGUCCUUUCAAGAGGGAGCUGUGAGGCGGGAAGCAGAGACGGGUGAGGGAGCACAGCACCUCCUCUCCUCUGCAGCUAGUUCGUUUACCUUCAUCACACACCGCUUCCUCUCUCAAACCUUCCCUGGCCAUCUGUAAGAAAAGCAAUGGAAAUGUCAUUUUAAGGCUUUCCACCUGGGGCUGGAAGUGGGCCCAGGACGAAAAAAGGACCAGACCGAAGUGUGUCCCCCCGAGCUCGUGCCGUCCUGGGGCCACGGGCCGGAGUGAGCCUGUCAGCACCCCGCAGACCGCUGCUUCGGGCUUGAGACACCGUCCAACUCCUUGGAGAAGGUGGGAGGAAAACGACGCUUCUUCCAGCCAGGCGGCCCGGUCCUCUGCAGAGGUCACUUCACUUCUACGACACCCACAGGGCGUGGCUCUGUGUUCCGGGAAUCGGUGUCUCUGCUAAGGGCUCACACCUGGAUUUCUGGAGCCGGCAGGUGGAGCGGGUCGUACGUUGCCACCUCCCUGCCUCUGGGACGUAUCCGGACUGUAUCCCUGUUUAUCCGGACGUCGUUAGGGCCGUGAGGCACAUGCCGGGUCGCCCCUUUACUGAACAUGCAGCCUGGAUGGGCUUCCGACUGUCUCGAGGACUGCUCUGUGGGCGAAGACAGAGGCAGGCUUAAAGCCAAAUCAGCAAGCACCUCCAGGUGGCUAGUCCUUCACAUUCAGGCCAGAAACUCGUCAGGAGCAAAGCCCCAAGAAGACGAACUAGCACUAAUUAGUGACGUGAGACAGACAUAGAGGAGCAAAUACUGUUUCCUCUCACUCGUAUGAGGCACCUGAACAGUCAAGUUCACAGAGACAGAAAGUGUAUGGUUGGAGGGG
This is a long non-coding RNA of Bos taurus (domestic cattle), 1769 nucleotides long. The record is from Ensembl. Lineage: Eukaryota; Metazoa; Chordata; Mammalia; Artiodactyla; Bovidae.